Molecule: ribosomal RNA, 468 nt
Filed under: uncultured bacterium
Lineage: Bacteria
Description: partial 16S ribosomal RNA
Rfam family: Bacterial small subunit ribosomal RNA
Source: RNAcentral
GAUGAACGCUGGCGGCGUGCCUAACACAUGCAAGUCGAGCGAUUUACUUCGGUAAAGAGCGGCGGACGGGUGAGUAGCGCGUGGGUAACCUGCCCUGUACACACGGAUAACAUACCGAAAGGUAUGCUAAUACGAGAUAAUAUACUUUUAUCGCAUGGUAGAAGUAUCAAAGCUCCGGCGGUACAGGAUGGACCCGCGUCUGAUUAGCUAGUUGGUAAGGUAACGGCUUACCAAGGCGACGAUCAGUAGCCGACCUGAGAGGGUGAUCGGCCACCUUGGAACUGAGACACGGUCCAAACUCCUACGGGAGGCAGCAGUGGGGAAUAUUGCACAAUGGGCGAAAGCCUGAUGCAGCAACGCCGCGUGAGCGAUGAAUGCCUUCGGGUCGUAAAGCUCUGUCCUCAAGGAAGAUAAUGACGGUACUUGAGGAGGAAGCCCCGGCUGACUACGUGCCAGCCGCCGCAGUAA